UACAGAGGGGGCAAGCGUUAUUCGGAAUUAUUGGGCGUAAAGGGCGCGUAGGCGGACCUGCAAGUCGGGGGUGAAAGCCCGAGGCUCAACCUCGGAACUGCCUUCGAUACUGCGGGUCUCGAGUCCGGGAGAGGUGAGUGGAAUUCCUAGUGUAGAGGUGAAAUUCGUAGAUAUUAGGAAGAACACCAGUGGCGAAGGCGGCUCACUGGCCCGGUACUGACGCUGAGGCGCGAAAGCGUGGGGAGCAAACAGG
Molecule: ribosomal RNA, 253 nt
Filed under: uncultured bacterium
Lineage: Bacteria
Description: partial 16S ribosomal RNA
Rfam family: Bacterial small subunit ribosomal RNA
Source: RNAcentral